Molecule: unclassified non-coding RNA, 322 nt
Filed under: soil metagenome
Description: partial contains 5.8S ribosomal RNA, internal transcribed spacer 2, and large subunit ribosomal RNA
Rfam family: 5.8S ribosomal RNA (bases 1-120)
Source: RNAcentral
GAUGAAGAACGCAGCGAAAUGCGAUAAGUAAUGCGAAUUGCAGAAUUCAGUGAGUCAUCGAAUCUUUGAACGCACAUUGCGCCCUGUGGUAUUCCGCAGGGCAUGCCUGUUCGAGCGUCAUUUCAACCCUCAAGCUCUGCUUGGUGUUGGGCCCUGCCCGCUGCGGCCGGCCCUAAAGACAGUGGCGGUGCCGCCUGGCCCUGAGCGUAGUACAUCUCUCGCUCCAGUGCCCGGUGGUAGCCUGCCAGAACCCCAACUCUCGUGGUUGACCUCGGAUCAGGUAGGGAUACCCGCUGAACUUAAGCAUACAAUAAGCGGAGGA